This 101-nucleotide microRNA precursor is filed under the name Daphnia pulex (common water flea). RNAcentral's name for it is "microRNA dpu-mir-2 precursor (dpu-mir-2-2)". Its record names the gene dpu-mir-2-2. The stretch from base 19 to 87 matches the Rfam family "mir-2 microRNA precursor family". From Rfam's summary of the family: The miRNAs are transcribed as ~70nt precursors (modelled here) and subsequently processed by the Dicer enzyme to give a ~22nt product. In this case the mature sequence comes from the 3' arm of the precursor. The extents of the hairpin precursors are not generally known and are estimated based on hairpin prediction. Lineage: Eukaryota; Metazoa; Arthropoda; Branchiopoda; Diplostraca; Daphniidae. The record is from miRBase by way of RNAcentral.
CAAGGGUGUCGUGUGUAUUAGCUUGUCAGAGUGGUUGUGAUGUGCGUCAUGUUGUACUCGUAUCACAGCCAGCUUUGAUGAGCGCUACGCUCGACUUGUUG